RNAcentral lists this long non-coding RNA (434 nucleotides) under Hordeum vulgare. Its description in RNAcentral is "long non-coding RNA (HVUL_LNC014554)". Lineage: Eukaryota; Viridiplantae; Streptophyta; Magnoliopsida; Poales; Poaceae. The record is from RNAcentral.
UACCUUUUUUGCAUGUAUCAAACAGUUUCCUUUCUUACACGUAUCAAACAGUUUGCUUGUGGCGGUCCUGUGAAGGAGAAGAUGGUCCUUACUGACUUGCCAGUGCGACGGGCAGCUUCACGAGUAGUUAUAUCGGUGCAGAUGUGCUAGCAUGUGAUCACCAAGAAGAGGCUGCCAAUCACAUGUACAAGAAAGACGCGUGGUGCCUUGGUCAGCAUGAGAAGUGGCCCUCCUUGCAAGACAAACAAAAGAUGGACUUGGCUGGCCAACUGAACCUUUUAAGUCAACCCUACUAAUAAACCAGCCUGUAAAUGAAGCCACUGAUGUGAUUAAAGUACGUGUCCAUUUCUGGUUGUCUCUCAAUCCUAGGUAGCUAUGUCCAACUUGCAAGGAGAGAUCAAAAGCCCAUGCCAUUACAUUAUCAUAGGGCUAGU